This 497-nucleotide ribosomal RNA is filed under the name uncultured bacterium. RNAcentral describes it as "bacterial SSU rRNA". It matches the Rfam family "Bacterial small subunit ribosomal RNA", at positions 29 to 518 of the family's 1533-position model. The record is from RNAcentral.
AUGAACGCUAGCGACAGGCCUAACACAUGCAAGUCAGGGGCAGCACAAGGAGCAAUCUGAGGUGGCGACCGGCGCACGGGUGAGUAACACGUAUGCAACCUGCCUGUAAGCGGGGAAUAACCCGUUGAAAGACGGACUAAUACCGCAUAAUACUAAAUUACUGCAUGGUAAUUUAUUUUAAACAUUUAUGGCUUACAGAUGGGCAUGCGCAUGAUUAGCUAGUUGGAGAGGUAACGGCUCCCCAAGGCAACGAUCAUUAGGGGUUCUGAGAGGAAGGUCCCCCACACUGGUACUGAGACACGGACCAGACUCCUACGGGAGGCAGCAGUGAGGAAUAUUGGUCAAUGGACGAGAGUCUGAACCAGCCAAGUCGCGUGCAGGAAGAAUGUUCCCUAUGGAUUGUAAACUGCUUUUGCGAGGGGAAUAAAGUGCAUCACGUGUGAUGUUUUGUAUGUACUCUGCGAAUAAGGAUCGGCUAACUCCGUGCCAGCAGCCGC